Molecule: unclassified non-coding RNA, 1262 nt
Filed under: Eufriesea mexicana
Lineage: Eukaryota; Metazoa; Arthropoda; Insecta; Hymenoptera; Apidae
Description: platelet-derived growth factor C, transcript variant X2
Source: RNAcentral
UUCGCUUCGGCAGUCGAUCGCGGCGCGAGCACACGAACCUGCUCAGGUACGACAUCUUGACGUUUUCCUCGUGUAUCAAGUGCAAUGGAAACGGCAAGGCCGAACGUCUCGUAAACACGUGCAAUCAUUGUUCCUCGUAAUUAAAACUUACCUCCGUCGAUACUCGAGCGCGUUACCUUUGUAGUGGCCACGCGACGCAGGGAUCUCGUGUCUGGAAGAUAAAUCUUGGCAGCGACUCGCUAUUUUCCGACAUCUCGGAAAACACGCCGAGGGAAGCGAUCGUAUCGAGCGCAAGCAUGUCACGUUCGAUCAGACACAAAGCGCUCGUCCUCGCGAUUCUUUGUGGACUGGUGACGGGUUCGCAGAGCGACACCGUGGGACAUAGAAAGGACAGCAGGUUGUCGGGUGACCGUGAUAUAGUGUUCCCUGACGAGAUCAAUGCAGGAGCGUUAGACCUUCCGAUCGUGCCUCCGCCUUCACCCGAAGACGUCGAUAAAUCAGUGGUACCACUGGAAUUAGCCAAAAAGAUGAGUUCUGUCCAAACGGUCGAGGAGUUCCUUCAGUUAGUCAAAGGUGUACCUCCAGUACAGAAUACCUUCUCUAUCCAAAGUAAAAUCGGAGAAACCGAGGAACGAUCAAACGCAGAGAUACCAGUUCCAGCAACGUGUAAACCUGAAUUACAAACAGUUCAACUACACCCCGACACCGACACGACCAGCAUAUUUUUCCCCACCUGUAUACGAAUCAACAGAUGCGGUGGUUGUUGCUAUAAUUCCUUGCUCUCCUGUCAGCCAACGGCAACAGUGACACGAAAUUUCGAGAUUUACGUGAUGAGUGCCGACCACUACAAAGGAUUACUGUAUAGGAGUAAACGUAUCGUACCAGUAGAAGAGCACACGGAAUGCGAGUGCAACUGCCAAGUAAAGGAGGAGCAUUGUAACAAAAAGCAGACUUAUGUACCUGAGUCGUGUGAAUGCCAAUGCAACAACGUUGACGAAAAGAAGAAAUGCAACGAGAGCGACAAGAAAAUCUGGAAUUCAGACCUUUGUAGCUGCUCAUGUAGAGAAGUACGGCAGUGUACUACUGGCUUAUAUUUCGACCAAAAUACGUGCAGGUGUGAGCUGAAUGAAUAGGACUACUAUGGGAAUUAAACCUUACUGCACCAUACUGUCUUGCAUAUCCUAUGUAAGCAAACACAACUAUCUAGACCUUGGAUACCUACAAGAAGAGUCGAUUAUGGAUUUGAGUAUACAGAAAAAUCG